UUAUAUAAUCAACUUUAAACUCAGUUACGCGAAUCAGUUUAUUAAUCACUUUUCUGUUUGUUUUCCUUUCAAACUCUGGGAUCUGGGCUCCAUGUUUCCACAACCCACUCCCAUCCGGUCACAACUGCAAAUCUUCCACCCCAACAAACGGCGAGUAUCAAUUCCACAAAAAGAUCCAGAUCAUUGACUCUUAAACCCCGAUAGAACAACUGGACUAAAAAAGAAAUCGCACUGACGUCAUGAUAAUUUUGUUUUUGGAGCAGAUCUGACAGGAGCUGAUAUCUGAACAGCUUUCCCCAUACAUCCAUUAUGGUCACACAGAACCGAUAUGUGCAUGAUAGGAAGUUCUUGAAAUUAAUUUUUUCUAAACCAAACUGCCCCUGGUGGCUGAGUGGCUGGAGCCCUCUCCACCUUAUGCACCAUGACAAAACAUGGCUGCAGACUUUGAAAUUGCUAAAUAGAAUCAUCACCACAGCUCUGAUGGAGGAAAACAUGCCUCAUCCCCCCAGCUGAUCUGAUGCUGAGGAUGCUGAUGCUGAUGCUGAGGACGAAGGUGACGCUGACGAUGAUGAUGAGGAUGAGGACGGGUUUGCACUGGAUGGGAUGAAGGUUGGGGGUACAUGGAAAUCCCAAAUUCAAGACACCCGGUACCAGAUGCAGCAAAGCAGCCCCAGAACAUGACCGAGCCUCCUCCAUGUAUUACACGGUGUCCUCCUCGGCCGUCUUCCAUGAAGUCCUCUUUGGCUCAAAAAGCGACGGAUGUUGCGAUCUGAUAAUGAUGGACCUUGACCUUGGAGUUCACCUCUAAUCUCUUUGGAAGUUGUUCUGGGCUCUUUGGUUACCAUUCGUAUUAUCCAUCUCUUCAUUUUGUCAUAAAUUUUCCUCAGGUGGCCGGGUCCAGGGAGAUUGGCUACAGUCCUGUGGACUUUAAACUUUUGAAUAAUAUGUGCCACUGUAGUCACAUGAACAUCUCGCUCCUUGGAGAUGGUCUUAUUGCAUUUACCUUUAACAUGCUUGCAGAUAAUUUCCUUUCUAAUCUCCUGAGACAACUCUGUCCUUUGCUUUCUGUGGUCCAUGUUCCUUGUGGUACACACCAUGAUACCAAACAGCACUGUGACUACUUUUCACCCUUUAAAUUAUCAGACAGACUUAUUACAAGUUUGAAGAGACCUGCGAUGCUAAUUCGAGGACACACUUUAGUUUAGCAUGUCCCUACUGUCAAUUAUUUUCAAUCUUUUCUAGGGGUACCAUCAUUUUUGU
Molecule: long non-coding RNA, 1260 nt
Organism: Platichthys flesus (European flounder)
Lineage: Eukaryota; Metazoa; Chordata; Actinopteri; Pleuronectiformes; Pleuronectidae
Exons: 3
Source: RefSeq, a predicted model, not a curated record